UAUGUUUUAUAGAGAGCAACUUACUUUACCAUUAUGGGUGCUCUAAGAGCACCCGCAAUGGUAAAGUAAGGUGCUAUCUAUAAAACAUGU
Molecule: unclassified non-coding RNA, 90 nt
Filed under: Oryza sativa (Asian cultivated rice)
Lineage: Eukaryota; Viridiplantae; Streptophyta; Magnoliopsida; Poales; Poaceae
Source: RNAcentral